GUCACGUUCAGGACCAGCAGUCAAUGGGUCAUCCAUGGCCACAACGGUCCCGAAUGGCAACGCAUUUUUUACCUUGCCAUUGGGCUCAGCUACAAAUACCAUGCUAGGUUUUGGUCCUGACACGAUGUCGUGAAAGUAAAAGUGAAGGUGAGUGAAUUUCUCUUCUUGAAAACCCAACAUUGUUGGGGAUAGGUUUUGAUAGUAAUUAGUGGCAGUGGCAAGGGAUAUUAUAGAGAGGAAAGUAAGGUUCAAAGAAAUUAGAAGAGUUAUGGAGAAUGUUGAGGAUUUUGCCAUGGUUGAUGCGAAUGAACAAAGAAUGUAGUUUUUGUUGUUGAGGAUAAUGAACUAAGAAUGCUUAUUGCUUAUUUCAAUUCGUUGUAUACAUGCCUAUUUAUAAUAGGUGUGGCUGCUUUGUUCAUUUGUAUAUAUUGAUUUGUCUAAAGCUGAAGUUUGUUGACCAAAAACUUUUAGAUAUAUGUCAAAAUAUGGUGGAAAAAUGAUAGACGCCAGAAACAUGUAAAGCGUUGUCAACGAAACAUCCGAGAAAUAUAGUGGAGAAAAAAAUAUAACUCAAUCGUAUUCACUCAGACUAAUGACUUUUUUUUUUUUUUUUAUGGGAAACCAUCAUUUUUGACAUUUUGGCUUCCUAACAUUAGUGGUUGUUAACAUUAUACAUAGAGUUUAAACAAUCUUGCAUAACAAUGUCAUGUCUUCCUUUCAAUAAAAAAUAAAACAAUGUCAUGUCUUCUAAGUCAUGUUUUUUACUUCAUGAAUAUUGUAUUUAAGAGGAUUGAUUUUGCAAUCUAAAAAGGUCUAACGACACAACUUGUUAUUUGUCUGUCUUCUAUUCAUGUUAAUUAAAAACGAGUCUUUUAUUAUGCGGCAACUUGCAUGAGUGGUUGCGACAUCCUUUACUGUGUAUGGACAUCUCUGUAAUUUUUUUUUUUUUUUUUUGCGGCAGCUUGCAUUUGUUUUUGGUUUUGGUGACACCGUAAAAACUCUAGUUGGCCUCCUUUAGCACAUCUUGGAGAGUCACUUUCUAUGUGUUAAUAUAAUCUUAUUUUGACAUGUUAAAAAAAAAAAAAAAAAAGUCAACUAAAUCAAGCCUUCCUAUUAAAGAAAAAAGUGAACCAAAUACCACGCAUUUUUUAUGAGCCAACCGUAAAUAAAUUUUCUAAUUAGUGUUGCAUCAUUUGCACCUCUAGAAGAUAUGAGGUGGCUCAUAUUUUCGUCAUGGUGUGAAAAAGAUGUUUAAAAGGCGUAUAAAGAAUUUUUUUUCCGUCAUUCAAAUUCAAAUGCUGGAAAUUUUAUAAACGGGAGAGGAAUGUUAUUUUAUUCAACAGAGAAGAGAACUUAGCUAGCUUCCAGUGUUAUGGGGUGUGUAGGACUUGACCGAAAAUUUAAUAUUAGUGCCAAGCCUUUGGUUGGAGGCUGCUAUAUAGAUAUGAUUGUGGCCGGUACAUUGGACACGUACAAAACUCAAAGAAUAGAAAUCAAAUUUGAGUAUUAGAUAGACUAUUACUCCAUUAGAAUAGAAGAGUGGGGUAUUAGUGUAUUACAUUAAUAGAUUAUUAUAGUUAAAUAUAAUUUUAGUCUCCAAGACCAAGGCUUAAGAUUUUUAUGUCCCAAACAAAUAUCUUUUUAAUAAUUUUAAAUGUUUUUCUAUUUGUAUCUUUUGUUGUAAAAGAUUUAUUUAGUGUUAAGCUCAUGAGUACAUAACUUUUUAUGGUUUAAUGCUGGUAAGUGUAUUUGUUUGCAUUCAUUUUCUGCAAAUUCAAUACGGAAACUUUUAGUUAUGACGUUAAGGGUUGAGUCAUGAUGUAAUUUUAUUGAGUACGUCAAGGAUUGAAAACAACAAUUUUAAAUUUGUUUUUACAAAAAUAAUAAUAAUAACUGCAGAGAUUGAAUUGAAACAAAAAAUAUUAUAAGAAAUGAAGCCAAAAAAUUUCUAUAAUUGACAGAACUAAAAUCAAAUUUAAAUCCAUUAAGAUUGUUAUAACAUCUAAUCGAGUUGCAUAGAAAAGACCAACAAACUAUUAGUGUGUCGAAUAUGAACCACCCAAAAUGAUCCAAAGGUAAACAUUUUCCAUUAGUAAACAUAAAUCAUAAUAUAUAACAAAAUAUAGAAAAUAAUAUCUUGUUAAAAAUUACUAUAAACUAGGUCCUUACAAACUAUUAAAACAAUUAGGUUUUUUUUUUUUUUUACAGAAUAUUAAGACAUUUAGUUAUAUUUAUUUACAAUUGUAUCAUUAAAAAAUGUUGAACCUAUCUUAUCUAUCAUAUUAUUUAUCAUUUUUUACUACUCAUUUAUUAUUUAUUGUUAGUUAUAAAAGAUAUGUAAAAAAAAUUGUAGGCAUUUAAAAAAUUAUAAUUAAUAGAAUUGAAAAUUUGAAAUGAGUCAAACAAAAAGGACAACAAAUUUUUUAUUUAGCUAUCUUUUACAAAUAUUUUUCUUAAUAGUCCUCUUAAACUUGAAGAUGAACAACAUAACAAUUGAUCAUGCCGGAUCUGGAGAUCUCUAGUUGGUGAUGGUGAAUGCCUUUGAAGGUUGGAUCUUCGUCACUAGCAACCUUCUUCUUCAGAGGAGAGUUUGCAGUUUUCGUACAUACUUCCACAAUGAAGUCAAUAACUGGACAAUGAGCAUACUUGGACCAAUGUCAUGAGUUAAUGGAUUUAGGAUUUUAGGGUGAUAGAAGAGGUUUAGGGUUUUGCCCUUGAAUUGUUAACUGGACAAUUGUCCUCGAGGGACACAUAUAAACAUAUUAAAAGGCCAUCAUUUUAUUUGUCCUAAACGGUCUAUAUCUUUCCAUGGGGUCUUAAUCCAGUGAUAUUUAGGGUGAUUCCAUGCUAUGGUCCUUACAUAUAAGCUUUGAAGGGUACCUGGAUUCAGGCAUGGAUUGAACAUUGACCCAAUAUGGAACAACAACACAAGACAUCAUGAGUUUUUUUAAUAAUCGGAGAUCAUGAAAUAUAAGGAAACAUGAGAAGGGGAAACAAAACUGUAUUGGAUGCUCAACCCAGUUUUAACGGAAUUCAUGGGGAGGUUGAGGGUACCUCCGUACAUGGGAAUUGGUCAAAAUAUUUCUCCUUCGUUUUUUUUCUUCGUUGAAUUAAAACUAAAAAUAAAUAUAUUGAAUUUAUAAACGAAUGUGGUAUUACAUGUUUAUUUCACCUAUUUGACUUUCACUUUAGGCGAGAGUGUGUAACAGAAGCAUAAUAACAAUUUACUGAAUAACAAAUCAAAAUAUAAACUCUACUUUUAUGAAGCACCUAUAAGGCUAGACCUAACUAAUAAUGGAACAUAAAUAUGUCAUACUCCACAAUGGCAUCUCCUUUAGUGUAAUCAACGGAAUAAAAUUUAGCUUGAGCAUAACCACGUACAAAACGAAAAGCCCCAGUUCCACCAACAAUGGCCAUUUCUCUAACAGGUUCACUCAUGAUCAUAUUUCUACCCAAUAUGCUAAGUGUGCUUCCAUUGAAAUGUCCAUCAGUGAAUGUCAUGGUCAUCACCAUCAUUAGUCCCAUCUCCUCUUGUGAUAUAGAGGUGUAAAUUCCUUGAGCCUUACCCACAAGUUUUGAUUCACGUUCGGGUCCAGCCGUCAAGGGGUCAUCCAUCGCCACAACUGUCCCGAAUGGCAAGGCAUUUUUUACCUUGCCAUUGGGCUCAGCUACAAAUACCAUGCUAGGUUUUGGUCCUGACACGAUGUCGUGAAAGUAAAAAUGAAGGUGAGUGAAUUUCUCUUCUUGAAAACCCAGCAUUGUUGGGGAUAGGCUUUUAUAGUAAUUAGUGGCAGUGGCAAGGGAUAUUAUGGAGACGAAAGUAAGGUUCAAAGAAAU
RNAcentral lists this long non-coding RNA (3837 nucleotides) under Medicago truncatula (barrel medic). Its description in RNAcentral is "long non-coding RNA (MTRU_LNC005523)". Lineage: Eukaryota; Viridiplantae; Streptophyta; Magnoliopsida; Fabales; Fabaceae. The record is from RNAcentral.